RNAcentral lists this small nuclear RNA (327 nucleotides) under Microcebus murinus (gray mouse lemur). RNAcentral's name for it is "7SK RNA (ENSMICG00000021161.3)". It matches the Rfam family "7SK RNA". Rfam says of the family: 7SK was discovered as an abundant small nuclear RNA in the mid-70s but a possible function has only recently been suggested. The record is from RNAcentral. Lineage: Eukaryota; Metazoa; Chordata; Mammalia; Primates; Cheirogaleidae.
GGAUGUGAGGGCGAUCUGGUGGCGACAUCUGUCACCCCACUGAUCGCCAGGGUUGAUUCAUCUGAUCUGGCUGGCCAGGCGGGUGUCCCCUUCCUCCUUCACAGCUCCAUGUGCACCCCUCCCAAAGCCGCACACACUUGGUUGAAGAGGAGGACCUUUCCUGAUAGAGGAGAACCGUUCUUUGGUCAAGGGUAUACGAGUAGCUGCGCUCCCCUGCUAGAACCUCCAAACAAGCUCUCAAGAAGGACACAUUAAGUUUAAGAACCACUAGUGAGAGGCAGACAUAUAUAGAUGGAAUUGAAUACAAGGGAACCCAUGAAAACAUUU